Molecule: ribosomal RNA, 188 nt
Filed under: Blautia sp. AF25-12LB
Lineage: Bacteria; Bacillati; Bacillota; Clostridia; Lachnospirales; Lachnospiraceae
Description: partial 16S ribosomal RNA
Rfam family: Bacterial small subunit ribosomal RNA
Source: RNAcentral
UUUAUUUAGAGAGUUUGAUCCUGGCUCAGGAUGAACGCUGGCGGCGUGCUUAACACAUGCAAGUCGAACGAAGCACUUCGGACAGAUUCUUCGGAUGAAGUCCUUAGUGACUGAGUGGCGGACGGGUGAGUAACGCGUGGGUAACCUGCCUCAUACAGGGGGAUAACAGUUAGAAAUGGCUGCUAAUA